AGAGUUUGAUCAUGGCUCAGAUUGAACGCUGGCGGCAGGCCUAACACAUGCAAGUCGAACGGUAGCACAGAGAGCUUGCUCUCGGGUGACGAGUGGCGGACGGGUGAGUAAUGUCUGGGAAACUGCCUGAUGGAGGGGGAUAACUACUGGAAACGGUAGCUAAUACCGCAUAACGUCGCAAGACCAAAGAGGGGGACCUUCGGGCCUCUUGCCAUCAGAUGUGCCCAGAUGGGAUUAGCUAGUAGGUGGGGUAACGGCUCACCUAGGCGACGAUCCCUAGCUGGUCUGAGAGGAUGACCAGCCACACUGGAACUGAGACACGGUCCAGACUCCUACGGGAGGCAGCAGUGGGGAAUAUUGCACAAUGGGCGCAAGCCUGAUGCAGCCAUGCCGCGUGUAUGAAGAAGGCCUUCGGGUUGUAAAGUACUUUCAGCGGGGAGGAAGGUGUUGUGGUUAAUAACCACAGCAAUUGACGUUACCCGCAGAAGAAGCACCGGCUAACUCCGUGCCAGCAGCCGCGGUAAUACGGAGGGUGCAAGCGUUAAUCGGAAUUACUGGGCGUAAAGCGCACGCAGGCGGUCUGUCAAGUCGGAUGUGAAAUCCCCGGGCUCAACCUGGGAACUGCAUUCGAAACUGGCAGGCUAGAGUCUUGUAGAGGGGGGUAGAAUUCCAGGUGUAGCGGUGAAAUGCGUAGAGAUCUGGAGGAAUACCGGUGGCGAAGGCGGCCCCCUGGACAAAGACUGACGCUCAGGUGCGAAAGCGUGGGGAGCAAACAGGAUUAGAUACCCUGGUAGUCCACGCCGUAAACGAUGUCGACUUGGAGGUUGUGCCCUUGAGGCGUGGCUUCCGGAGCUAACGCGUUAAGUCGACCGCCUGGGGAGUACGGCCGCAAGGUUAAAACUCAAAUGAAUUGACGGGGGCCCGCACAAGCGGUGGAGCAUGUGGUUUAAUUCGAUGCAACGCGAAGAACCUUACCUACUCUUGACAUCCAGAGAACUUUCCAGAGAUGGAUUGGUGCCUUCGGGAACUCUGAGACAGGUGCUGCAUGGCUGUCGUCAGCUCGUGUUGUGAAAUGUUGGGUUAAGUCCCGCAACGAGCGCAACCCUUAUCCUUUGUUGCCAGCGGUUAGGCCGGGAACUCAAAGGAGACUGCCAGUGAUAAACUGGAGGAAGGUGGGGAUGACGUCAAGUCAUCAUGGCCCUUACGAGUAGGGCUACACACGUGCUACAAUGGCGCAUACAAAGAGAAGCGACCUCGCGAGAGCAAGCGGACCUCAUAAAGUGCGUCGUAGUCCGGAUUGGAGUCUGCAACUCGACUCCAUGAAGUCGGAAUCGCUAGUAAUCGUAGAUCAGAAUGCUACGGUGAAUACGUUCCCGGGCCUUGUACACACCGCCCGUCACACCAUGGGAGUGGGUUGCAAAAGAAGUAGGUAGCUUAACCUUCGGGAGGGCGCUUACCACUUUGUGAUUCAUGACUGGGGUGAAGUCGUAACAAGGUAACCGUAGGGGAACCUGCGGUUGGAUCACCU
RNAcentral lists this ribosomal RNA (1528 nucleotides) under Enterobacter sp. MGH 22. RNAcentral's name for it is "bacterial SSU rRNA". It matches the Rfam family "Bacterial small subunit ribosomal RNA". Lineage: Bacteria; Pseudomonadati; Pseudomonadota; Gammaproteobacteria; Enterobacterales; Enterobacteriaceae. The record is from RNAcentral.